AACAUUGUGGUUUAAUUCGAUGAUACGCGAGGAACCUUACCUGGCUUAAAUGUAGAGUGCAUUUUCUAGAGAUAGGAAUUCCCUUCGGGGCUUUCUACAAGGUGCUGCAUGGUUGUCGUCAGCUCGUGCCGUGAGGUGUCGGGUUAAGUCCCAUAACGAGCGCAACCCUUAUCGUUAGUUGCCAUCUGGUAAAGCAGGGGACUCUAGCGAAACUGCCACCGUAAGGUGAGAGGAAGUGGGGAUGACGUCAAAUCAGCACGGCCCUUAUGUCCAGGGCUACACACGUGUUACAAUGGUCGGUACAGAGGGCAGCUACCUGGUGACAGGAUGCUAAUCUCGAAAACCGGCCUCAGUUCGGAUCGAAGUCUGCAACUCGACUUCGUGAAGCUGGAUUCGCUAGUAAUCGCGCAUCAGCCAUGGCGCGGUCGAAUACGUUCCCGGGCCUU
RNAcentral lists this ribosomal RNA (446 nucleotides) under uncultured Sphingobacteriales bacterium. RNAcentral describes it as "bacterial SSU rRNA". It matches the Rfam family "Bacterial small subunit ribosomal RNA", at positions 936 to 1382 of the family's 1533-position model. The record is from RNAcentral. Lineage: Bacteria; Pseudomonadati; Bacteroidota; Sphingobacteriia; Sphingobacteriales.